Molecule: ribosomal RNA, 301 nt
Filed under: uncultured bacterium
Lineage: Bacteria
Description: partial 16S ribosomal RNA
Rfam family: Bacterial small subunit ribosomal RNA
Source: RNAcentral
CAGCCGCCGCGGUAAUACGUAGGGUGCAAGCGUUAAUCGGAAUUACUGGGCGUAAAGCGUGCGCAGGCGGUUAUAUAAGACAGAUGUGAAAUCCCCGGGCUCAACCUGGGAACUGCAUUUGUGACUGUAUAGCUAGAGUACGGCAGAGGGGGAUGGAAUUCCGCGUGUAGCAGUGAAAUGCGUAGAUAUGCGGAGGAACACCGAUGGCGAAGGCAAUCCCCUGGGCCUGUACUGACGCUCAUGCACGAAAGCGUGGGGGGCAAACAGGAUUAGAUACCCGCGUAGUCCCUGUCUCUUAUAC